GACGAACGCUGGCGGCGUGCUAACACAUGCAAGUCGAACGGUAAGGCCCUUCGGGGUACACGAGUGGCGAACGGGUGAGUAACACGUGGGUGAUCCGCCCUGCACUUCGGGAUAAGCCUGGGAAACUGGGUCUAAUACCGGAUAGGACCACUGCCUGCAUGGGUGGUGGUGGAAAGCUUUUGCAGUGUGGGAUGGGCCCGCGGCCUAUCAGCUUGUUGGUGGGGUGAUGGCCUACCAAGGCGACGACGGGUAGCCGGCCUGAGAGGGUGACCGGCCACACUGGGACUGAGAUACGGCCCAGACUCCUACGGGAGGCAGCAGUGGGGAAUAUUGCACAAUGGGCGCAAGCCUGAUGCAGCGACGCCGCGUGAGGGAUGACGGCCUUCGGGUUGUAAACCUCUUUCAGCACCGACGAAGCGCAAGUGACGGUAGGUGCAGAAGAAGGACCGGCCAACUACGUGCCAGCCGCCGCAGUAA
RNAcentral lists this ribosomal RNA (477 nucleotides) under uncultured bacterium. RNAcentral describes it as "partial 16S ribosomal RNA". It matches the Rfam family "Bacterial small subunit ribosomal RNA", at positions 28 to 523 of the family's 1533-position model. The record is from RNAcentral.